This 400-nucleotide long non-coding RNA is filed under the name Gossypium raimondii (Peruvian cotton). Its description in RNAcentral is "long non-coding RNA (GRAI_LNC006754)". The record is from RNAcentral. Lineage: Eukaryota; Viridiplantae; Streptophyta; Magnoliopsida; Malvales; Malvaceae.
GGAAACUCACUGGAAAAUGCAGAAAAGGUCUCUGUUAUUACAAAUCUCUCAGCUCCCCAAACUCCAUCGUCGGUGCAAUCAAGCCUACUUCUUCUCAUCUGGAAAAACCCAAAAUUUCCAUUCAUUCCCAGACAAUAAUGGCGAUCCUAUGUAUUCAGACGUGCCCAAGCCACGGACAGACAAGUCCCAAAGGAAACCGUACCCGACACCCAUGAAAGAACUGAUUAAAAGGGCUAAACAAGAAAAAGAAUUAAGAAAAUCCCAACCUUGUAGAUUGCUUGAACAUCCUCCCGCCAAUGGGUUGUUGGUCCCUGAACUCGUCGACGUCGCUCACCGAGUCUACCGAGCUCGUGAACUCAUCCUCUCCGGUUUGUCCAAACUCCUCCAGUUCAUCCCAGUU